Molecule: small RNA, 108 nt
Filed under: Marmota monax (woodchuck)
Lineage: Eukaryota; Metazoa; Chordata; Mammalia; Rodentia; Sciuridae
Source: RNAcentral
GCUAGGCAGGGUGGUGCAUACCUGUAAUUCCAACAACUUGAGAGGCUGAGACAGGAGGAUUGUUAAAUUCAAAGCCAGCCUGUGCAGUUUAGCAAGAUCCUGUCUCCA